UCCAGACUCCUACGGGAGGCAGCAGUGGGGGAUAUUGCACAAUGGGGGGAACCCUGAUGCAGCGACGCCGCGUGGGUGAAGGAGCGUUUCGGCGCGUAAAGCCCUAUCGGCAGGGAAGAAGGAGGACGGUACCUGACUAAGAAGCCCCGGCUAACUACGUGCCAGCAGCCGCGGUAAUACGUAGGGGGCAAGCGUUAUCCGGAUUUACUGGGUGUAAAGGGGGCGCAGACGGCAGCGCAAGCCAGGAGUGAAAGCCCGGGGCCCAACCCCGGGACUGCUCUUGGAACUGCGCGGCUGGAGUGCAGGAGGGGCAGGCGGAAUUCCUGGUGUAGCGGUGAAAUGCGUAGAUAUCAGGAGGAACACCGGUGGCGAAGGCGGCCUGCUGGACGGCGACUGACGUUGAGGCCCGAAAGCGUGGGGAGCAAACAGGAUUAGAUACCCGAGUAUUC
Molecule: ribosomal RNA, 449 nt
Filed under: uncultured bacterium
Lineage: Bacteria
Description: partial 16S ribosomal RNA
Rfam family: Bacterial small subunit ribosomal RNA
Source: RNAcentral